RNAcentral lists this ribosomal RNA (394 nucleotides) under uncultured Paracoccaceae bacterium. Its description in RNAcentral is "bacterial SSU rRNA". It matches the Rfam family "Bacterial small subunit ribosomal RNA", at positions 547 to 942 of the family's 1533-position model. The record is from RNAcentral. Lineage: Bacteria; Pseudomonadati; Pseudomonadota; Alphaproteobacteria; Rhodobacterales; Paracoccaceae.
AGCUUACUGGGCGUAAAGCCCGCGUAAGCUCAUUGGAAAGUUGGGGGUGAAAUCCCGGGGCUCAACCCCGGAACUGCCUCCAAAACUGCCAGUCUAGAGUUCGAGAGAGGUGAGUGGAACUCCAAGUGUAGAGGUGAAAUUCGUAGAUAUUUGGAAGAACACCAGUGGCGAAGGCGGCUCACUGGCUCGAUACUGACGCUGAGGUGCGAAAGUGUGGGGAGCAAACAGGAUUAGAUACCCUGGUAGUCCACACCGUAAACGAUGAAUGCCAGUCGUCGGGUAGUAUACUAUUCGGUGACACACCUAACGGAUUAAGCAUUCCGCCUGGGGAGUACGGUCGCAAGAUUAAAACUCAAAGGAAUUGACGGGGGCCCGCACAAGCGGUGGUUAAUAA